RNAcentral lists this ribosomal RNA (666 nucleotides) under Pantoea sp. RNAcentral describes it as "bacterial SSU rRNA". Lineage: Bacteria; Pseudomonadati; Pseudomonadota; Gammaproteobacteria; Enterobacterales; Erwiniaceae. The record is from RNAcentral.
CCGGAAAUCACUAUUACUGCCGCGUUCGCGCACGCAAGCGGUCUGUUAAGACCCAUGUGAAAUCCCCGUUUUUGCCUGGGAACUGCAUUUGAACUGGCUUCUUGAGUCUCGUACAUGGGGGUACAAUUCCAGGUGUACUCGUGAAAUGCAUGAAGAUCUGGAGGAAUACCCGCGGUCAACGGGGUCCCCUGGACGAAGACUGACUCUCAUGCGCAACAGCGCGGGGAGCAAACAGGAUUAGAUACCCUGGCGUCCACGGACUUAACCAUGUCUUCUUGGAGGGUGUUCCCUUGAGGAGUGGCUUCCGGAGCUAACGCGUUCCCCAAACCGCCUGGGGACUACGGCCGCAAGGCUGGACUCAAAUGAAUUGACGGGGGCCCGCACAACAGCUGGAUCAUGCGCAUGAAUUCCAUGUAGCGCGGACAACCUUACCUACUCUUGACAUCCAACCAACUUGGCAKACAUGCCUUGGGGCCUUCUGGAACGCUUAGACCCGGGCUGCAUGGCUGUCGGCAACUCGCGYUGUGAAAUGUUGGGUUACGGCCCGCACCAACCGGAACCCUUAUCCUGUGUUGUCACCAAUUCUUCCGGGAACUCAGAGGAGACUGCCGGUGAUAAACCGGAGGAAGGUGGGGAUGACUCCAAAUCAUCAUGGUCCUUACGCUA